AGCGGCGGACGGGUGAGUAACACGUGGGUAACCUGCCUGUAAGACAUGGGAUAACUCCGGGAAACCGGGGCUAAUACCGGAUGGUUGUUUGAACCGCAUGGUUCAAACAUAAAAGGUGGCUUCGGCUACCACUUACAGAUGGACCCGCGGCGCAUUAGCUAGUUGGUGAGGUAACGGCUCACCAAGGCAACGAUGCGUAGCCGACCUGAGAGGGUGAUCGGCCACACUGGGACUGAGACACGGCCCAGACUCCUACGGGAGGCAGCAGUAGGGAAUCUUCCGCAAUGGACGAAAGUCUGACGGAGCAACGCCGCGUGAGUGAUGAAGGUUUUCGGAUCGUAAAGCUCUGUUGUUAGGGAAGAACAAGUACCGUUCGAAUAGGGCGGUACCUUGACGGUACCUAACCAGAAAGCCACGGCUAACUACGUGCCAGCAGCCGCGGUAAUACGUAGGUGGCAAGCGUUGUCCGGAAUUAUUGGGCGUAAAGGGCUCGCAGGCGGUUUCUUAAGUCUGAUGUGAAAGCCCCCGGCUCAACCGGGGAGGGUCAUUGGAAACUGGGGAACUUGAGUGCAGAAGAGGAGAGUGGAAUUCCACGUGUAGCGGUGAAAUGCGUAGAGAUGUGGAGGAACACCAGUGGCGAAGGCGACUCUCUGGUCUGUAACUGACGCUGAGGAGCGAAAGCGUGGGGAGCGAACAGGAUUAGAUACCCUGGUAGUCCACGCCCGUAAACGAUGAGUGCUAAGUGUUAGGGGGUUUCCGCCCCUUAGUGCUGCAGCU
This 777-nucleotide ribosomal RNA is filed under the name Bacillus subtilis. Its description in RNAcentral is "bacterial SSU rRNA". It matches the Rfam family "Bacterial small subunit ribosomal RNA", at positions 94 to 853 of the family's 1533-position model. The record is from RNAcentral. Lineage: Bacteria; Bacillati; Bacillota; Bacilli; Caryophanales; Bacillaceae.